UGGCGAACGGGUGAGUAACACGUGGGUAAUCUGCCCUGCACUCUGGGAUAAGCCUGGGAAACUGGGUCUAAUACUGGAUACGACCUUUCUCCUUAUGGGGUUUGGUGGAAAGUUUUUCGGUGUAGGAUGAGCCCGCGGCCUAUCAGCUUGUUGGUGGGGUGAUGGCCUACCAAGGCGACGACGGGUAGCCGGCCUGAGAGGGUGAUCGGCCACAUUGGGACUGAGAUACGGCCCAG
This 236-nucleotide ribosomal RNA is filed under the name uncultured Actinomycetales bacterium. Its description in RNAcentral is "partial 16S ribosomal RNA". It matches the Rfam family "Bacterial small subunit ribosomal RNA", at positions 96 to 334 of the family's 1533-position model. The record is from RNAcentral. Lineage: Bacteria; Bacillati; Actinomycetota; Actinomycetes; Actinomycetales.